UACGUAGGGUGCGAGCGUUGUCCGGAAUUAUUGGGCGUAAAGAGCUUGUAGGCGGUUUGUCGCGUCUGCCGUGAAAAUCCGGGGCUCAACCCCGGACUUGCGGUGGGUACGGGCAGACUAGAGUGUGGUAGGGGAGACUGGAAUUCCUGGUGUAGCGGUGAAAUGCGCAGAUAUCUGGAGGAACACCGGUGGCGAAGGCGGCAUCCUGGACCAAUAUUGACGCUGAGGAGCGAAAGCCAGGGGAGCAAACGGG
RNAcentral lists this ribosomal RNA (253 nucleotides) under uncultured bacterium. RNAcentral describes it as "partial 16S ribosomal RNA". It matches the Rfam family "Bacterial small subunit ribosomal RNA", at positions 524 to 776 of the family's 1533-position model. The record is from RNAcentral.